GUUUAUGAUCCCCCACUCUUCCAGCAUUGCUGUCUGCAUACGGGAGUGAACAGCCUGCGUCUCUGUGGUUUGCAGGCAGGGAGAGAGCAGCAGGAGCUGGCCUUCGACAUUCAGGAGGAGGAGAAGGACCUGGAGCAGGAGCUGUUUUGAAUAUGGUGCCAAACUCCUUUGUUCAAAGCCUAUACAGUAGGAACAUCAAUGGACUAGGAAUAAAUGGAGAACAGGCUGCCUUGCGAAGAUCAAUCAUGUGAAGACUAAUUACAAUGCCCCCACCAAUUUACAAGUGGCCAUUUUGCUUUUCUGAAUGAGAUUAUUAAAAUUCACAUUCCUGGAUUAUGUUACAUUACAAAAAAAAAAUCUUAUGUAAACCACGGAACCCAUGGUACUUUGCGAUUUGAAUUAUUACUCAGUUCUUCCAUUAAGAUAUGAUGGCACUGGCUUUAGGGUUGAUAGUUGUAAAGAGCCGAUGAUCAAUUUUUAAAAAUGAAUAUGUUGUAUACCUUGAUCAUUGAGAAAGCUUUAAAAUGGCAUGUGUACUUAAACUGUACAAGAAUAACUGUAUGUAAAUAAACCAAAACAGAGAAAGAUAA
This is a long non-coding RNA of Anguilla rostrata (American eel), 590 nucleotides long. RefSeq lists it as uncharacterized. The transcript has 2 exons. The record is from RefSeq and is a predicted model, not a curated record. Lineage: Eukaryota; Metazoa; Chordata; Actinopteri; Anguilliformes; Anguillidae.